This 1779-nucleotide ribosomal RNA is filed under the name Triticum aestivum (bread wheat). RNAcentral's name for it is "partial small subunit ribosomal RNA". Lineage: Eukaryota; Viridiplantae; Streptophyta; Magnoliopsida; Poales; Poaceae. The record is from RNAcentral.
AUGGCGGCAUCCUCCCCGGCGGCCACGGCCACGACGACCCCUCCUCUCGCCGGGCCGGCGAUCCACCGCGGCCCCGCCGCCGCCCGCCUCCUCUCGGGGUCGCUCUCCCGCCGCUCGCCCCCGGCAUCCACCGCCCAGGCUGUCUCCUCCUCCGCCGCUCCCAAGCCCAGGGGCUUGCUCCUGCCAUGCCGGGCAGCGGAGGGGGCGGCGCCGGCGCGGGCGGAGGCGCCACUGAAGGUGAUGAUCUCCGGGGCGCCCGCGUCGGGAAAGGGGACGCAGUGCCGCAUGAUUGUCGAGAAGUACGGUUUGGUUCAUAUAUCAACUGGGGAUCUUCUACGGGCUGAAGUAUCUUCUGGCACAGAUAUAGGCAAGAAAGCAAAAGAAUAUAUGGACAAUGGCAUGCUUGUCCCGGAUCAAGUUGUGACAGAUAUGGUUGUAUCACGACUAUCACAGCCUGACGUGCGAGAAAGAGGGUGGCUUCUUGAUGGUUACCCAAGGAGUUAUGCUCAAGCACAAAGUCUUGAAAGUAUGAAAAUAAGACCAGAUAUAUUCAUUUUACUGGAAGUUCCUGAUGACAAUCUAAUCGAUAGAUGUGUUGGAAGAAGACUGGAUCCUGUGACGGGCAAAAUUUACCAUGUAAAGAACUUCCCCCCAGAGAAUGAGGAGAUAUCUGCCAGGCUUACUACACGCUCUGAUGAUACAUUUGAAAAGGUUAAAUCACGCCUUGAGACUUACAAACAAAAUUCUGAAGCUGUUAUUCCGACAUACUCAGAUUUGCUUAACCAGAUUGAUGGAAAUCGCCCAGUGGAAGUCAUUUUUCAUGAAAUAGAGUCCAUGUUACAGAAGAUUUGUACGAAUGCUUCAGAAAAAAAGUUGGCCAAGGCAAACGGAAAACCACCAGACACAACAGCUUCGAAAAAGGAGUGGCGUGGAAUUCCAACGAGAUUAAAUAACAUUCCACACUCCAGAGAGAUCAGGAAAUACUUUUACGACGAUGUGAUACAAGCUACAAAGCGUGCUAUUGAAGAUAAAAAGACUCGGUUGCAGAUAGAUAUCAAUAUUCCGGAGCUUAAUCCCGAAAUGGAUGUUUAUCGUAUAGGAACCCUCAUGGAACUUGUAAGAGAUUUAUCUCUUACCUUUGCUGAUGACGGAAAGCGUGUCAAGGUCUGUGUUCAAGGCUCCAUGGGGCAAGGCGCAUUUGCUGGUAUUCCACUUCAGCUUGCUGGAACCAGAAAAAUAUUGGAAUUCAUGGACUGGGGUGACUAUGGAGCAAUGGGCGCCUUCAUCAAUAUUGGAGCAGUAGGUGCUAGUGAGGUUGAUAAAGAAGAUGACAUGUUUGUUCUCAUUGCUCCCCAGAAUGCUGUUGGAAACUGCAUAAUUGAUGAUAUGAGAGCUAUGACUGAUGCUGCUGGUGACAGACCUGUGAUUCUUGUAAAUCCUCGCCUGAAGGAUAUGCCUGCAUCAAGUGGCGUAAUGCAAACAAUGGGAAGAGAUGUGAGGCUUCAGUAUGCUGCAUCAUUUGAGACUUGUUAUUCUUUCCGGCUUCUCUUCUAUGCUGGUACAUUUUAUCCUAUCAUGGGCGCUUUAAGGAUGGCUUAUCCUAAUAAAUACGAGAUUUUUCGAAGGGUUGAUGAACCUAAUGGAGAAAAAUAUGAUUUGCUAGCUGAAUUCACCGGGAAUCCAACGGCUGAUGACAUCACCAAUGCCUUUGUAGGACCAAAAAAGAAAAAGGAAAAUGCGCCCUCUGGAUUCUGGGGUUUCUUGAGCGGUAUAUUGUAA